Molecule: long non-coding RNA, 267 nt
Filed under: Hordeum vulgare
Lineage: Eukaryota; Viridiplantae; Streptophyta; Magnoliopsida; Poales; Poaceae
Description: long non-coding RNA (HVUL_LNC010902)
Source: RNAcentral
AGGAGAAAAAAGAAGAAGAAGAAGAAGAAGAAGAAGAAGAAGAAAAAGAAUAGGAGGAGAAAAAGAGGAGGGGGGAGGAGGAGAAAAAAGAACAAGAAGAAGAAGAAGAAGAAGAAGAAGACGAAGAAGAAGACGAAGAAGAAAAGAAGAAGAAGAAGAAGAAAAAGAGGAGAGAGGAGAAGAAGAAAGAAGAGGAAAAGGGAACCCCGGCAACCCGAAACUGACCCUCGACCCCCGACCCGUGAUGCCCGACGCCACUGACCCCCG